Molecule: ribosomal RNA, 119 nt
Filed under: Pteropus alecto (black flying fox)
Lineage: Eukaryota; Metazoa; Chordata; Mammalia; Chiroptera; Pteropodidae
Source: RNAcentral
GUCUACGACCAUGCUACCCUGAACAAGCCCGAUCCUGUCUGAUCUCGGAAGUUAAGCAAGGUCAGGCUUCAUUAGUACUUGAAUGGGAGACCACUUAGGAAGACUAGGUGCUGUAGGUG